Molecule: RNA transcript, 2881 nt
Organism: Musa acuminata AAA Group (dessert banana)
Lineage: Eukaryota; Viridiplantae; Streptophyta; Magnoliopsida; Zingiberales; Musaceae
Gene name: nucleobase-ascorbate transporter 12-like
Exons: 12
Source: RefSeq, a predicted model, not a curated record
CACUCCCCUCUCCCUUCCUCUACUGCCUCUCUCACGCAGCGACGCUCUUCUUUCUCGCCUUCCUCUCUCUCUCUCUCUCGCUCUCUCCGCUCUCUCUCUCUCUUUCUCUCCGCUCUAAACCCUAACUUAGUUUCCUUGGAGAUCGAGGAGGAGGAGAGGUUGAAGUGGGAAACCCUAGGGAAGAGAGGGAGAGAUCGAGGCGGCUGCCAAUGGCGGACAACCGGCCGCCGCAGCGGCGGGCCCGGCCCGGGCCUUGGCCUCCGGCUGCAGAAGCGGGGACGGCCGCGGGGGCUCCUGCUCCGGCUCCGGCGCCGCUAUCCUGGGCGAAGAGGACCGGGUUCAAGGGAAGGGUCUCCGGGGAAUCCAACGCGAGUAACUCCGGCCAGAUUGCGCUACCGAAGCCCAAAGAGCCGGGAUCGGACCUGGAUCUGGAGGCGGGGCGUAGGCGCCACGCAGCCAGUGCCCUUCCGUCGCCUCCUGUCGCGGCCGCCGCUGCCAAUGGGGAGCCUGACAACAUGGCCGGAGGAGGAGUAGGAGGAGGUGGAGCAGCCCCGUUGCCGGCUGAUCAGACGGCGAGGAGCAGGAGGGAUUCCGAUGGUGGAAACAAAAAUGCAGGUUUGGGGCCCAAUGGACAGGCAGUACGGUCUGACCAGCCAUUGAGGCAACGAAGGGAGCAGGAGACAGCCACGCUGCCUCAGCUAGAGGAGGAAGAGGGGGGCUUUUCGUUGAGACGGGUUCAUAUCAAGUAUGAGCUGAGGGAUAGUCCCGGUCUCGUGCCCAUAUUCUUUUAUGGUAUUCAACAGUAUCUGUCAAUAAUGGGUUCCUUGAUUCUUAUACCACUGGUUAUAGUUCCAGCAAUGGGUGGCACUCAUGAAGAUAUUUCAGCUGUGGUGUCGACUGUGUUCUUCAUCUCAGGUGUGACAACAUUGUUGCACACAUUCUUUGGAACCAGGCUACCACUAAUACAGGGUCCUUCUUUUGUGUAUCUGGCUCCAGCCUUAGCAAUAAUAAACUCACCAGACUUUCAAGGUCUUAAUGAGAAUAAUUUUAAGCAUAUUAUGAAGGAGCUACAGGGAGCUUUAAUAAUAUCUUCUGCAUUUCAAGCUAUAAUGGGGUAUACUGGAAUGAUGUCAUUGCUUUUAAGGUUGAUCAAUCCAGUCGUUGUAUCUCCCACCAUUGCAGCAGUUGGACUUUCUUUUUUUAGUUAUGGCUUUACUCAAGUAGGAAAUUGCCUGGAAAUUGGUAUGGUGCAGAUAUUGCUGGUUGUCGUUUUUUCACUUUAUCUUAGGAAGAUACGCAUAUUUGGUCAUCGAAUAUUUUUAAUUUAUGCGGUUCCCUUGGGUCUGGGAAUCACAUGGGCCAUUGCAUUUCUUCUCACAGCAUCUGGUGUAUAUAGCUACGGAGGUUGUGAUAUUCAUAUUCCUGCAUCAAAUACUCUAUCAGAAUACUGCAGAAAGCAUGUGCCAAGGAUGAAACACUGUCGUGUUGAUACUUCUCAUGCCUUAAGAUCUUCACCAUGGUUUCGACUUCCUUAUCCAUUGCAAUGGGGCACUCCUGUUUUCAAUUGGAAAAUGGCCAUUGUAAUGUGUGUAAUAUCCAUUAUUGCAACUGUUGACUCGGUCGGCACAUACCACGCAUCAUCUUUGUUGGUAGCAUCAAGACCUCCAACAGCGGGAGUUCUCAGCAGGGGUAUUGGUAUGGAAGGCAUUUCUAGCAUUUUCGCUGGUCUUUGGGGUACAGGAGUUGGUUCGACAACUCUUACAGAAAAUGUUCACACUAUUGCUGUCACUAAAAUGGGCAGUCGCAGAGCAGUUGAACUGGGUGCUGUAAUGUUAAUACUUUUAUCUUUUGUUGGUAAAGUCGGAGGCUUUAUUGCUUCUAUCCCUGAUGUCAUGGUUGCUGGUCUUCUUUGCUUUAUGUGGGCCAUGCUUGCUGCUUUGGGCUUGUCAAACCUACGUUACAGUGAGACAGGAAGCUCCAGAAAUAAUAUCAUAGUUGGACUCUCUUUGUUUUUUUCCUUAUCUGUGCCUGCUUACUUCCAGCAAUAUGGCCUUGUUCCGAAUGCAAAUUCAUCUGUGCCAAGUUACUUCCAACCAUAUAUCGUGGCAUCACAUGGGCCUUUUCAUACCGGAUAUAAAGGGAUAAAUUUUGUCUUAAACACGCUGUUCUCAUUCAACAUGGUGAUAGCAUUUCUUGUUGCUGUGGUUCUCGAUAAUACUGUUCCUGGUAGUCGGCAAGAACGAGGGGUGUAUGUUUGGUCUGAACUAGAGGCAGCAAGGAGGGAACCAGCUGUCACGAGAGACUAUGAGCUGCCUUUCAAAGUUGGUAAAAUAUUCAGAUGGGUGAAAUGGGUUGGCCUAUAAAUGUGUCAUCUAAUAGGAGCAGCCUAUCCAGGAGACACCAUGACCAGAUAUUUUAUUCAUGCAAGCCAAGCACAGGAGGUCAUCUCACAAUUUGUACUGUUUCUCCAAUCUGACAUGAAUGUCUGAUGAGUUGCCUGUUCGAGGACCAAGAUGAGUAAGCACAGGAGGUCAUCUCACAAUUUGCACUUCCAAGAUACCAAUUUCUUGUAAUUUAUAUAGCAGAUUUUAAAUUAAACAGCACGUGUUCCGUGGAUUUUUGUGAUCCAUGAGAAAGGAUAACUGCACAUUAGAGGGCAACUGGGAUACAGGAGAAUGUUGAAGAAUAUAGGUAUCAUUGCUCAACAUCACAGCAGUCAUGGCGGAUGAAAGGCUCCUAGUGGGGCAGGUCUUUUUUUGUCAGUUUCAAUGUAGAAGUUAUGCAGGAAAAUGUUGCACACAUUAUAUCAACGCAACUGUCUGAUGGCAGAUUGUUUAUAAAGAGUGUAAAGCAAUGUCAUUUUGCUUGAGUUAAGUUUUUA